Molecule: ribosomal RNA, 392 nt
Filed under: uncultured bacterium
Lineage: Bacteria
Description: partial 16S ribosomal RNA
Rfam family: Bacterial small subunit ribosomal RNA
Source: RNAcentral
AUACGGAGGAUCCGAGCGUUAUCCGGAUUUAUUGGGUCUAAAGGGUGCGCAGGCGGCCAUUUAAGUCAGCGGUUAAAUCGUGGGGCUCAACCCCAUUCUGCCGUUGAUACUGGGUGGCUUGAUUGCGGUCGAGGUUGGCGGAAUUCGUUGUGUAGCGGUGAAAUGCAUAGAUAUGACGAAGAACACCGAUUGCGUAGGCAGCUGACCAGACCGCAAAUGACGCUCAUGCACGAAAGUGCGGGGAUCGAACAGGAUUAGAUACCCUGGUAGUCCGCACAGUAAACGAUGAAUACUUGUUUUCGGCGAUAUAAUGUCGGAGGCAAAGCGAAAGCGAUAAGUAUUCCACCUGGGGAGUACGCCGGCAACGGUGAAACUCAAAUGAAUUGGCGGGG